GAUGAAGAACUUAGCGAAAUGCGAUAAGUAAUGUGAAUUGCAGAAUUCAGUGAAUCAUCGAAUCUUUGAACGCACCUUGCGCUCCUUGGUAUUCCGAGGAGCAUGCCUGUUUGAGUGUCAUGAAAUUCUCAACCUUUUCAGCUUUCUUUGUUGAUCAGGCUUGGAUGUGGGAGUAUGCGGGCUUCUCAGAAGUCGGCUCUCCUGAAAUGCAUUAGCGGGACCUUUGUUGCCUGGCUUUGGUGUGAUAAUUAUCUACGCCAUUGUAGUCAAGCAGCUUAAAAUGAGGUUUCAGCUUCUAACCGUCUCCCCUGAGACAACUUUUUGACAAUUUGACCUCAAAUCAGGUAGGACUACCCGCUGAACUUAAGCAUAUCAAUAAGCGGAGGA
RNAcentral lists this unclassified non-coding RNA (387 nucleotides) under soil metagenome. Its description in RNAcentral is "partial contains 5.8S ribosomal RNA, internal transcribed spacer 2, and large subunit ribosomal RNA". The stretch from base 1 to 120 matches the Rfam family "5.8S ribosomal RNA", at positions 35 to 154 of the family's 154-position model. The record is from RNAcentral.